RNAcentral lists this ribosomal RNA (327 nucleotides) under uncultured Burkholderiales bacterium. Its description in RNAcentral is "bacterial SSU rRNA". It matches the Rfam family "Bacterial small subunit ribosomal RNA", at positions 1 to 337 of the family's 1533-position model. The record is from RNAcentral. Lineage: Bacteria; Pseudomonadati; Pseudomonadota; Betaproteobacteria; Burkholderiales.
UAGUGAGUUUGAUCCUGGCUCAGAUUGAACGCUGGCGGCAUGCUUUACACAUGCAAGUCGAACGGCAGCGCGGGGCAACCUGGCGGCGAGUGGCGAACGGGUGAGUAAUAUAUCGGAACGUACCCAAGAGUGGGGAUAACGUAGUGAAAAUUACGCUAAUACCGCAUACGAUCUAAGGAUGAAAGCGGGGGUAUCGCAAGACCUCGCGCGAUUGGAGCGGCCGAUAUCAGAUUAGGUAGUUGGUAGGUAAAGGCCUACCAAGCCAACGAUCUGUAGCUGGUCUGAGAGGACGACCAGCCACACUGGAACUGAGACACGGUCCAGACU